UGUAGCUCAGUGGUAGAGCGCUCGCCUAGCAUGUGUGGGGCCUGGGUUCAAUCCCCAGCA
RNAcentral lists this transfer RNA (60 nucleotides) under Fukomys damarensis (Damara mole-rat). It matches the Rfam family "tRNA", at positions 6 to 65 of the family's 71-position model. Rfam says of the family: Transfer RNA (tRNA) molecules are approximately 80 nucleotides in length. Their secondary structure includes four short double-helical elements and three loops (D, anti-codon, and T loops). The record is from Rfam by way of RNAcentral. Lineage: Eukaryota; Metazoa; Chordata; Mammalia; Rodentia; Bathyergidae.